AAGGCGUUAUGCUGAAAAGCCUUAAUAGAGUAAGCA
Molecule: regulatory RNA element, 36 nt
Organism: Niastella vici
Lineage: Bacteria; Pseudomonadati; Bacteroidota; Chitinophagia; Chitinophagales; Chitinophagaceae
Rfam family: DUF805b RNA
About the family: Bacteroidetes, Chlorobi (1 example), Proteobacteria.
Source: Rfam